GAGUUUCCCUGGCAACCCACUGUAGAGUUUGGUCAGCAGAAACAGAGCCUGUGGAACAGCCUGGGGGAGUGAGGCUGGUGUUCGCCUUGAGAUCCAAAACAGGAGAUGGGUGAAUGUCCUUCAAUGGGGCAGGUGUGAGUAUUUUUGGCUGGUCCAGAUUCUGGUAAAACAGCUGACAGAGAGUCCUUCCCCGGGUCACCUUCUAAGAGCCAAGAUGUUGACUGAAGAGGUGGGCUGCAGUACAGAGACUCUUCUCCUGGCAACUGCCUGAACACUUGAGCUGCCAGCCCAAGUCCCACCAGAGCGCUGCAUGGCAGGUUUGGGGUUUUGCUCACACAGAUAGAAGAGGUUACAGAUGCUCAGGAAAGACAGAUCCAGAUGGAGAAAAGAAACCACAAGAUCUCUUCAUCCAAAUGGACACACACACAGUAAUAUUAGCCAUAAUGCUUCCCCCAGGGCUAGCGCCAGUGGCUACCCUGACUACAUCUGAAAGAAAAUAUUUUACUAGCUCUGAUGUAUCUGGGAACACCAGGUUUAUACAUAAAAGCUUAUAAUUUCUCUAACAAGUUGUACUGGGAAUAUGUCCAAAUAACAGUUAGGCAUAAUAUAUGAUAAAUACAUUAACUUGAAAAAAGAACACAAAAUAAAAUCCCCCAAAACAUGGAGCCUUACAACACACUGAAAGACCUAAAUCUACUAAGUGACAUGAGGGGCACACAAUCACUGUACCCAGAACUGGCUUGAUGGGCAACCCUGAAGCAACAAUAUAAGGCCUUGUAGCUCAUCAUGUCUUACUCUUCCUAGGUCUAAUGGUCGGGCCCUGCUGACCUAACUAAUGGGAAAACUGUUGAAAAAACCAAACAGCAUGCGUUAAAUCAAUGUACCUAAUGGGCCAAGUCAAUCCCUUUAUACAAUAUAUUAAUGCUUUAACUCUUCCCUAACAUCAGCGGGGAAUGAACUAUCCAAAGUGACUUUGGUUUCUGAGUUUUAUCCAGCUGCUCCCCACCCAGAAAUUGUUCUAAACACCAGAACUGAAACUGUUGAGCCUUCUGUCCCUCCUGCCUCUCUGUGAUGGAACUGUGCAUUAGGCUUUAUAAACCCAAUCAUGCUCACUUUGGUAUGUUUCUGGCAAGAGUCUUCUCUCAAAUUCUAAAACUCUCAGUCUCACCAGCACUGAGUUCUCUUUCCCCGAGUCUUACACCACAAUGGAGAAUCAACAAAAAGAAAAAUCUUGGAAGUCACUGUCAACAGGAGCACAGCUAGUGAGUGGCAGUUGGGAAAUGCAAAGCUUAAGAGAGUUAAACCGUCAGAAACGUCUGAGAGAUGAGCUUUGACAACAAAGAUAAAGGAGAGACCUAAAGAAUGAUUCCCACAGUGUCAUGUUCCAGGGUAAUGGGAAAAGCCUGCCUUUCUGUGGGCUAUUUGGACCUCAACUCUGCCCCUAAACCCCUCAUUCCUACACACCUGGCUGCACGUUGGCUGCUGCUUGUCUCUUCACAUCUGAAGAUUCUUGUCUUUGCUCCAAAAAUGUCACCAGGUGUGGCUUUGACACAACAAGACCUGUUUGCAGAAAAAGAAGGAACAAGAUUGUUUGUGUGUUCUUUUACUUGGAAUUGACAUGUGCCUUCCAGUACAUGGCUUAUAAGGAAAGAGAUGAUGAAAUAAAUGAUU
Long non-coding RNA from Peromyscus eremicus (cactus mouse), 1671 nucleotides. RefSeq lists it as uncharacterized. The transcript has 3 exons. The record is from RefSeq and is a predicted model, not a curated record. Lineage: Eukaryota; Metazoa; Chordata; Mammalia; Rodentia; Cricetidae.